RNAcentral lists this long non-coding RNA (1112 nucleotides) under Monodelphis domestica (gray short-tailed opossum). Its description in RNAcentral is "lncRNA (ENSMODG00000038645.1)". Lineage: Eukaryota; Metazoa; Chordata; Mammalia; Didelphimorphia; Didelphidae. The record is from RNAcentral.
AAAUAUAAAAGUUAAUCUGAUGAUAUAUAAAAAAAUAGAGAUAAUAUAUAAUAGAUAACAAGUGUUGUAAUGUAAUGCUCAGUGCUUAAGAAUGAUUGACAGGCAGAGAAUCUUCAGAGAUGGCAGGGGAAAGAUUCCAAACAGUUGGAGGGACAGUUAGCUGGUCUCUCUCUGAGGUUGGCAACUAACAAAGAAGCGGGAGGUGGCUGAUCUCUGCUCCUGUGGACAUCUUUGGAUCAUCACAAGCAGUCCUCUGAAGCAGGAGUGGAUAGGAGGUUUUCAAUAUCCUUGGGUGGACUAAGGAACAAUAUUGGGAGCUCCAGCUAUUCUCUGGACCACGUAGGACUCCUCAUCUGGACUUCAGCCACUACUUGCCAAAAGCUGAAGCAAUGGGAGUUUAGUUCCCAUUCCAAGGAAACAGGAAAACCCAGAAACUCAGGUCAACUUCCAGAACAGGUAUGGGACUAGGAUGAGUGAAGUUCAUCAGCUCUUGUGGCCUCCCUCCAUCUCCUAGUGUCUGGCUAGCUGAUAUGGAUGGUCACCCAGAAUUCAACCUGUUGUAAAAUUAAAGAAGAAAAUACAGGGCAGAGGAUAAAAUCUCACCCGAAAAGGAACUGGCAGAACUCUCCAUCCUGGGACUCUAGAGCAAACAGACCUGUGUCCAGGGAUCCCUGCACAAUCACAGGCUGGCAAGGGAAUUGGGUAACCAGGGAGCACGUGCUCCAGGGCAAAGCUUCACAAACACUGUUGGCAGAGCUGUCUGGAAGAUGGAGUCAGAUCUGACUAGAGCUGAAGGGUAAGAGAAAAUCCCCUUCAAUCUCUUUCUUCUUUAGUUGAUGUAGUUGUAAUCCCCGUCCAGUACGUUUAAGAUGUCUGAGUUCUCUAUAAGUUGAAAAUAGCUAUUUAUUAGAUAAAGGGGUUGAGUAUAAAUUAGGAAAGAGGAAACAGGGAGUCCUUGAGCUAUCUCCCUCCGAUAGAUGUCUUCAGGGAUUUGAGGCACAAGUUUGGGAACUAAGUCCCAGGCGAUCUUAAUGUCUUUGUCGGUUCAAGAUGAUGGUAUUUCUUGUCACAAAGAUAUAGCUUGAAUGAGUCUUCUGAAGGAUAGGCUAUUU